Molecule: long non-coding RNA, 480 nt
Filed under: Homo sapiens (human)
Lineage: Eukaryota; Metazoa; Chordata; Mammalia; Primates; Hominidae
Description: non-protein coding lnc-PPP1R14A-1:2
Source: RNAcentral
AGAGUGUGGUUGCCAUGGUGGUUGUGGUAGGAGACUGUGGUGGCCGGGGGACUGCUGCCGGCCACGUGGUUGCUGGGCAGGUGUGGGGUCAGGCUGUGGAUCCCGGCAGCUCAUCCUGGCGUCAUGAGCCAGGGGUAGGGGCUGAGCUAUGGCUCCCCUGCCGGUCAGUGCCCACCAGGGGCACGGUGACCUCCUAACUGCACCCCUGCCCCUUGGCCCCCAGGACACCCCUCGUGUUUACAAUUCACGGUGAACAUGACGGCAGCCGUGCGGACCUACCGCUGGCAGUGCAUCGAGUGCAAAUCCUGCAGCCUGUGCGGAACCUCCGAGAACGACGACCAGCUGCUGUUUUGUGAUGACUGCGAUCGGGGUUACCACAUGUACUGCCUGAGUCCCCCCAUGGCGGAGCCCCCGGAAGGGAGCUGGAGCUGUCACCUCUGUCUCCGGCACCUGAAGGAAAAGGCUUCUGCUUACAUCACC